GAUGAACGCUGGCGGCGUGCCUAAUACAUGCGAGUCGAGCGAACAGACGAGGAGCUUGCUCCUCUGACGUUAGCGGCGGACGGGUGAGUAACACGUGGAUAACCUACCUAUAAGACUGGGAUAACUUCGGGAAACCGGAGCUAAUACCGGAUAAUAUAUUGAACCGCAGGGUUCAAUAGUGAAAGACGGUUUUGCUGUCACUUAUAGAUGGAUCCGCGCCGCAUUAGCUAGUUGGUAAGGUAACGGCUUACCAAGGCAACGAUGCGUAGCCGACCUGAUAGGGUGAUCGGCCACACUGCAACUGCGACACGGUCCAGACUCCUACGGGAGGCAGCAGUAGGGAAUCUUCCGCAAUGGGCGACAGCCUGACGGAGCAACGCCGCGUGAGUGAUGAAGGUCUUCGGAUCGUAGAACUCUGUUAUUAGGGAAGAACAAAUGUGUAAGUAACUAUGCACGUCUUGACGGUACCUGAUCAGAAAGCCACGGCUAACUACGUG
Molecule: ribosomal RNA, 497 nt
Filed under: uncultured bacterium
Lineage: Bacteria
Description: partial 16S ribosomal RNA
Rfam family: Bacterial small subunit ribosomal RNA
Source: RNAcentral